UUUAUCUAUUCGAUUGACAGCAUUUAAUGCGAUUUCUUUUGCAACGUUUUUUUUUUCGCAUUGCACCGAAUUGAAGAUAUGAUCGUAAGCUGCUAAUCGAGUUCGAGGGUUCAAUUUUAAAUGUACGUAUUAUGGAUAAAAACCCUCUCAAAAAAAUAAACUUUUCACAAAAUGGGCGAGAUCAAGUCAACUCUCCAUAAGAUGAUGCAAUAUCUGGAAUAGGCCUACAGACGCCUACUUGUUUACAUUCAGUGCGAUUCUGCUAAUAAAAUACCUACAAAAUGAUACGACGAUUUUAAAAAAAGGUAAUAUACCUUCGCUAUUUAGUUCAUCGAGAUGAUCCAAUAGUUUUCCUGCUAUUUCGCUGCGCGAUAAUUUUCUUCCAUUUCCUACACUGAGACCUAGAUCUGCUAUGUCAUCUUGAUCGAAUACAUUAGGCGACAACGGCCGCAAAGGCUCCAGCGAAGAAUUCGCCGGUGGCCACUCCAUCAUUAAAUCUUCCAUUCUUAUUCUUCUUCGAUAAAUGAUUAAAUCCAAAAGAAUCCAAUUGCUGAUGCUUUGAUAUAGUCGACUGAGCGA
Long non-coding RNA from Planococcus citri (citrus mealybug), 579 nucleotides. RefSeq lists it as uncharacterized. NCBI's taxonomy places the organism in Eukaryota, Metazoa, Arthropoda, Insecta, Hemiptera, Pseudococcidae. The transcript has 2 exons. The record is from RefSeq and is a predicted model, not a curated record.